GACGAACGCUGGCGGCGUGCUUAACACAUGCAAGUCGAACGGAUCACAUUGCUUCGGUUUUGUGGUGAGUGGCGAACGGGUGAGUAACACGUGAGUAACCUGCCCCCUUCUUUGGGAUAACGUCGGGAAAUCGGCGCUAAUACUGGAUAUUCUGGCUGCUUCGCAUGGGGUGGUUGGGAAAGGUUUUUCUGGUGGGGGAUGGGCUCGCGGCCUAUCAGCUUGUUGGUGGGGUGAUGGCCUACCAAGGCGGUGACGGGUAGCCGGCCUGAGAGGGUGUCCGGCCACACUGGGACUGAGACACGGCCCAGACUCCUACGGGAGGCAGCAGUGGGGAAUAUUGCACAAUGGGCGGAAGCCUGAUGCAGCGACGCCGCGUGAGGGAUGACGGCCUUCGGGUUGUAAACCUCUUUCAGUACAGAACAAGGCUCUUUCGGGGGUUGAGGGUAUGUGCAGAAGAAGCGCCGGCUAACUACGUG
RNAcentral lists this ribosomal RNA (476 nucleotides) under uncultured organism. Its description in RNAcentral is "bacterial SSU rRNA". It matches the Rfam family "Bacterial small subunit ribosomal RNA", at positions 28 to 507 of the family's 1533-position model. The record is from RNAcentral.